GUGGAGAGCUCCGAGACGCCGAGCUUUGGUGCGCGCGCGCGCGCUAUCUCAAGAACCGAAGCGGUCGAGGGUGCGCGCGGCAGGGCGGCGUGCGGGGUUGGGAGGAGCGAGCAGACUGGUAGGCUGGGUGGACGGCGAGCGGCCGGGAGCGCGCUGUGGACUCCGCGGCCGCGAGUAGUUAGUUAGUUGUGUCAGUUGCUCGGUGGCGGCGGCCGCGAUCACCAGAAAGGGGACGGGACGGGCGGCAAUGGUGAUCAUUGCAACGGCGUGUGCUUCCCCUCAGGAGCUUGUACUUUCUGAAGAGAGCUAUCUGGUACCUGGUAAUUACCAUAUGGUGUGUUAUAUGACAGGUGUGUGCACAGGUGCCUGUGAGGGAAGAAAGUACAGUGGAAGGCUUGUUGAUUCAAGACUUGGAUUCUUGGCUAUGGGGGAUGUUCUGGAAUCUUAGUGAGUUACUCAAGCUAACCUUGAAUAAUAUAUGAAUCAACUAAGUUCAAAAAGAAGAAACAUUUUUUUAUCCUAGUGCUGUUGUAUUGAAAAAUAAACCACAAACAUGAGUCAUGUAUAUAAUUUGAAAUUUCUAGUAGCUGUGUUUAAAAAAAAAUAAAAAUUGAGAUUCGGGCUGGAGAGAUGGCUCAGAGAUUAAAAGCACUGACUGCUCUUCUAGAGGUCCUGAGUUCAAUUCCCAGCCACAUGGUAACUCACAGCUAUCCAUUAUGAGAUCUGGUGUCCUCUUCUGGUGUGCAGAUAUACAUGGAAGCAGAAUGUUGUAUACAUAAUAAAUAAAUAAAAUCUUAAAAAAAUUGAGAUUCAUAAUAUAAAUUAAUCCAGCAUUUAAAAAUAAUGUAAUUUCAACAUAUAAUCCAUAUAAAGCAGUAAUACUAAGACAUUUAACAUUCUCCUUUUCAUACAAAGUCUUCAGAAUGUGGUGGUAUUUUUACACUUCAGCACAUUUCAAUUAAGACUAGCUCUGUUUCUAUACAUCAACAACACAGCUUUAGAACAGAGUCAAAUGAAGUAAAAUUACUGAUUGCAAACCAAGCUUAGGAAUUUUAACCUCUCUUUGAAGGCUGUGAAAUUUUAGUUGAAAAAAACGAAAGGAGGGCUGGAGAGAUGGUGCUUCUAAAGGACCUGGGUUCAAUUCUGGGCACUUAUUCAGUGGCUCACAAACAUCUGUGGCUCUAGUUCCAGGCGAUCUGACGCUCCCUUCUGGUGUCAGAGGACACCAGAAGUAAAACACCUACAUACAUAAACAAGAAACGAAAACAAAAUACCUUCCCACCACCUCCAGUAAACCAUCCUGCAAUACAACCAGAGCUAGCUUAGACCUAUCAUUUUGACAGAGAAAUGAAGCUGGAUUAGGAAGGGGCACAGCUAGAAGCAAGACCAGUUAAGAAGCUAUUCCUGGUGAGGAAUGGCAUAGAGAGUAGCGGAGGUGUGGGUGUAGGAGAGAUUUGUUAAGUGUUAUCAGUAGAACAGGACAAAUAGAUUAUAGAAUAGAAAAAGAUUGAAUCCCUUGAGAUGGUUUAGUGGGUAAAGGUACUUGCUGCCAACUUUCUUUCAUCCCUGGGAUGCACAUGGUAGUAGAGAAUCCACUGCUACAAAUUAAAUUAUCCUCUAUUGUCUAAAUAAGUGCAGUGAUAAUGACUCUCAUAAACAAACAAAUGAAUAAAUAGACUGAAGAUUAAGGAUGAUUCCUGUGUUUGUGUUAGGAGCUGCUAGGUAGAUAGGACCAGUAGCUAAGUGGGAAAGUCCAUCUUCUAUUCGAGAUAGACCAAGGAUGAAAAAACACAUACACACACACACACACACACACACACACACACACACACACAAAAAAAAAAAAAAAAAAAAAAAAAAAAAACAGAAAAACUGAAAGGGCUUGUCAGAAAGCUAAGAAAGGAGAAUAUUUCAAGGACUAAGAAUUGUCAACCUGUGUUCUACCAUGAAAAUGGCAAGUAAGAUAAGGUUUGAUGUCUCUGAGACUAGGAGGUUAAGUUGUUUGAAAGUAAUUUAGAGCAGUUAGCUACAUUGUGAUUCACUGAGGAGGUUGACACAGGAUAGCUAAUAGUUUAGCUAAUUGAGGUUACAGUGUUUUUCCUUGACAGGGAACUCACUCUGGAGACCAGGCUGGCCUAGAACUCACAGAGAUCCGCCUGCCUCUGCCUCCCAAGUGCUGGGAUUAAAAGCAUGCGCCACCAACGCCCGGCUUCAAGCUUGCUUUUUACUAGCUGUGUUGCCAGAGUUGACCUUGAACUCCUGAUCGUCUUGCCUCUACCUCCCCAGGACUUGGAUUACCACCAGUGUUUGUCACCAAGCCCAAGCAAGUACAGUGUUUGCAAAUAAGGACUCUGAAAGAAAGUGUAAGGAAGCCAGAUGCUGAGGCUUUAAAGAAGUUUGCCUUAAAAUGUUUUUAUAAAUUAAGUGUCUUGGGCAUGCUUAUGUGGAACUGGGAAGAAUCACUGGAGAAAGAAAAAAGUGGGGGAGGGAGGAGAGGCCAGCAUAGAGGAGAAAUUGGAAGAAAGGGAUGAAGGAGAGAGGAAGGAAGGAAAUGAGCACUAGUAUGAACAUCCUGGGUAGAGAAUUUGGUCUUGGGUGUCUUAGUUAGGCUUUCUAUUGCUGUGAUAAACACCAUGACCAAAAGCAACUUGGGGAGCAAAGGUUUUAUUUAGUUUACUCUUCCACAUCACUAUUCAUUAUUGAAGGAAGUCAGGACAGGAACUCAAAGAGGGCAGAACGUGGAGUGGGAAGCUGGGGCAGAGGCCACGGAAGAGUGCUGCUUAUUGGCUUGCUCUCCAUGGCUUGUUCAGCCUGUUUGGGUUUUAGUUCAUUUCAGAUGUACUCAAGUUGACAACCAAGAAUAGCCAUCACAAAUGGAAAGAAUUAGUUUUCAUCGAGCAAAAGAGGAGGUAAAGAUUGAUGGAUGGCAGGGUAAGUAAGUUUGAAACUGAUAGAAGGGAAAGAAUUGACAGCAUGUCUUAUGUGAUUUUGAUUAGCCAUUAAGAAUGAAAGGGAGUUGUUAGAACAGAGCUUGAAGAGAGUAUGUUAGUUUAAAACAACUCACAGGAGAGACUGGAGAGCAGAGAGGCAGAUAGGCACAUGGCCAGGGAACUGAAGAAUGCUGAGGAACUGUUUGAGGUUGUAGACCUUGGAUUUAUUGACAUGGCUGUUGGAUUUCUGAUUAUAUCUGGAGAAUCUAUUCAAUAUUCAUGAGACCCUUAUCUUAUCAUUGUACUCCGUGUUCAUAAGAUGCACAGUGAGAAUUCAAGCCUUACUGGUAAGUUUCAGAGCCCAGGUUAAUACCAGCUGCUUUAUAGGUAACAGUUUGGUAGAGAUACUUAAAGAUAGUUAGGACAGAUAGGAUACUCAAAACUGUGAGAUGUAUGAAGAAUUAUGAAGUCCAUAAUAGAUCAUGAGCAGAUAACCUGGAGGGGUUACCUGAUUGGAGAAAAAUGAAGGGCAUGAAAGGAUAUCGAUACCACUAUAAAUCCAAUCUCUGAAAGCAUAGAAUGAGCAUAAAGCUGAAGAGUUAGUAAUGAGUUAGUAAGAGUACCUGCUAUCUGCUGUAUACUUUAGUACUAUGUUCUAAUCACACAGUGUAUUAUAAUCCUUAUAUGCUUGCCUUUGUCAUUCCCUUAAAUCAGUGGUUCUCGGGCUUCCUAAUGCUUCGACCCUUUAAUACAGUUCCCCAUGUUAUGGUGACCCUCCCAACCAUAAGAUUAUUUUCAUUGCUACUUCAUAACUGAAAUUUCCUAAUGUUAUGAAUCAUAAUGUAAAUAUCUGAAAUGCAGGAUAUCUGAUAAGUGACUUCCUAUGAAAGGGUCAUUUGACCCCCAAUGGGGUUAAGACCCACAGGUUGAGAACCCCUGCCUUAGAUGAAGAAAUUGAGGAUUAGCGAGGUUAAAUGACUAGUCCCAAACUGUCAAGUAAUGGGACGAGUAUUCAGAUACUGCCUCAUUAUUCUCCAAACCAUGUUCUUCUGGAGUAAAGGGAUGAGAUGGAAAACAUAACAGUACAUAGAAAGUAGAGGAAAAGCAUUGAACUACUUAAUUUGGAACUUUUGAGGUAUAUCUUUAUGAAAUGUUUGUGGAGCAUCAAGUAUGUGCUGGGUACUGUUCUAGAUAAAAAGAUUAUAACAGUGAACUAGACAGAAAUUGUUAUAUUAGAAGGUGGUCAUGCUUGAGAGAAAUAACAAGAAAGGGAUGGAGGGAUGCCAAAGAGAGCAAGCAGGCUUUUACUUUUUUCUUUGAGGAAAUGUAUUGAUAGGUAGCUUUGGCUGUUACUGAGCUCAUAGGGAUUCUCCUGCUUCAACCUCCUGACUGCUAGGACUAAAGGCAUGUACCACCAUGCCUAGCCUGAAAGUACAUUAUAAAUAUUUUUAAACUUGUAGUUAAUUAGCUAAUUAAAAUUAAUUAAUGUGGGCCUGGCCUUAGGGACUGAACUUGGGUUGUCAGGCUUGGUGACAAGCACCUUUACCCACUAAGCCAUCUCACUCGCCUGAGAGUACAUUUUUAGAAACGAUGUCUGAGAAAGUGAGUGAAUGGUGAUAGUGAAUGGAUAUUUAAAAGAGUAAAAGAAACUUGCAUGUUUCCUGAGGGAGAAGUAUGCUGGCUGGAUCCUAGGAUCCUAGGAGAUCGUGUGAAUCAAAGAGUAUAGCUAGGGACAGUCAGAGAAACUAGAUCCUAAGCACAUAGAGCCUGCAAGACAUUGCAAAGACUUUGGGGUUUUUUGUUUUGUUUUGUUUUGUUUUGUUUUUGGGAGGGGGGAGAGGAAGAGUUUAGGAUUCUUAACAGUUCUGAGCAGAGGAUUGAUGUACUAGACUUACUGUUUUUUGACUACUGUGGUGAUAGUCAUCUAAACAAGACAGAAUAGAAGCAAGACCAGCUAGGAGGCUUUCUUUAAAAAGUGUAGUUAAUGAGCUGGGUUUGGUGGCACACCUUUAAUCCCAGCAUACUAGUAAGACAGAGGCAGGAGGAUCUCUUGUGAGUUUCAGGCCAGCCUGGCAAGUUUCAGACUACAUAAUGAGACCUGUUUCAAAAACAAGCAUAAUUUUUAAUUAAACUGGGGCUUAGGGUAUAGCUCAGUAGUAGUGUGCUUACCUAUCAUAUGGAAGGCCCUGGGUUUGUUCUCCAGCACUGCUAAAAAGGGAAUACUUAAGCGAUGGUGGUGCCUUACACCAACCAGAGAAUUAAUGAAAGGUGAUUAGAAAUGAACUUGUUCUUUUCUAUUAGUAUUUGCCAACUUUAGCACUACUGAUGUUUUCGACUGAAUAAUUCUUUAAGGGUUUUGGGUGUUGACCUGUGUAUUCUAGGAGUUAAGCAGCUUCCCAGAUUUCUUCCCGUAAAUGUUAGUAUCAUCUCUCCAACUUAUGACAAUCAGAAAUAUCUCCAGACAGUGGGUAAAAUUGUUCCCAUUAUGAACCAUUAACAAAUUAGGUUAUCACCUAGUUUCCUAUAAAGUUAACAUCUUAAACACUCAGAAUAGCUUAUCAAGCCAAGAAAUUAACAUUGCUAUGAUGCCUCAACUGUCUCGUGUAGUUAUUAGUUCUUUAUCCCUUUUAUUGUGUGGUGGUUUCUUGGUCUUUUAUGACCUUGAUACUUACAAAAAUACUGGUCAGGGCUAGGAGGAUAGCACAGUUGGUAAAAUGCUUGUUGUACAAGUGUGAAGGCCUGCAUGUGGAUCUCCAGAACCCACAUAAAAUAAAAGACAGGCACAUCUAGUCUGCAUGUGGCUCUGUGAUCCUGGCAAAGAGGGUAGGGGGCAGAGACAGACAGACUCCUGGAGCUCAUUGGUGACCCAGCCUGCUUCAGUCGAUGUGUGGAGAUUAUUUUACCCAUUUUCAAUUGGAUUACUCCUUUUCUAGUUGACUUUUAAUUUUUUGUUGUCUACUUUGGAUAAAAGUUCUUUAUCAGAAGAUAUAUCUAAUAUUUUUCUCAGAUUAUUGCUUGUCUUAUUAUCUUGAUAGUGGAUUUUACAUAAUAGUAGAUUUAAUUUCAGUGAUGUUUAACUCCUCAGUUAUUCCUUUUAUUGACUGCUUUUGCUACCUUUGGUAUAACAUCAUACAUUUUUUAUAAAAAAAAAAAAAAGCAGGGAAGCAAUGGAGUAAGACAACCUGAUAUUGAAUUCUGGGUUCUACACACAUGUGUACCCAUCCCCCCCACAUACACAGAGAAUAUUUUAAAAGAUUUUAGAUGUAUUUGGCUACAUACAUGUGUGGGUACCAUGUACAUGUCUGGUGCCUACAGAGUCCAGAAUAAGUCACUAGGAACUGGAGUUGUAGAUGGUUGUGAGCCAUGUGGGUACUGGGGAUUGAACCUGGGUGCUCUACUAGAGCAACAAGUGCUCUAAACCACUGAGCCAUCCAUCUCUUCAGGCCCAGAGGACAACUUUUGAGAGUUAGUUCUUUCUACCAUGUGGGAUCCUGGUAUUGAACUGAGGUUAUAAGACUUGGCCCUAAGUGCCUCUACCUGAUGAGGCAGCUGUCCCUGAAUUCUGAUACUCCCUACCAUACUUAGACUGGUAAUUAAUUAACUAAGGACAGGGACUCACUGUGGCUCCCCAGGUGGCCUGAAACUCACUAUGUAGACCACAUUGGCCUCAAACUCAUAGAGAUCUGCUUCUGCCUCCCAAGUACUGGAAUUAAAGAUAUGUGCCACCGUUCUCAGGCUUCAUGAUUAGGCUGGAAAGUUUGCCACUAUCUUAUUUCUGCCCACUGAUUCUAACAUUCUUCAGUAGAUAUUGCUUAUUAUUGCUGUAUUGUUUUAAAGAUACUUUUGAUUUUUUUCCCUAUAUGUAUUUGUUACUUUUAAAUACUUUUAUUUAUUUAUUUAUUAUGUGUAUGGGUGUUUUUCUUACAUGUAUGUCUCUGCAUCAUGAGUGUGCCUGGUGCCUGAAGAGGCCAGAAUUGGGGUUUGAGCCCUGGAACUGGAGUUACAGACAGUUAUGUACUGCCAUGUGGGUGCUGGGAAUUAAAUCCCAGGUCCUCUGGAAGAUCAGCCGGUGCUUUUAACUGCUGAGCCAUCUCUCCAGCCUGUUAUUUUCCUACAUUUAUUAACUUGGAUUCUGUACGGAAGCUCUUGUGUGCCUGGUGUUGGAGGAAGCUAGAAGAGGGUGUUGAAUUCUCUGGAACAGGAGUUACAGACUGUUGUGAGCUGCCACAUGGGCUCUGGGAAUUGAACCUGAGUCCUCUAGAGGAGCAGCAGGUCUAAUCCAGAACUUGUGCUCUCAAUGUUUCUUGGUGGCUUGUCUAAAAAACCUAAGGAUAAACAAGAGGCUGAACCUAAGGAAGUACAAGCAAGCCCUUGCUGUCAGGUAGCUCAGAAACAGAGGUGGUCUCAGUGCUUAGGACACUGAAGUAUUAUGGAUCCAGAGCAGGCUGAGGACCAGAUAAAGGAGAUAAGAGUGGCCAUGUGCUGAGGGAGACUGCAGAACCAAGGCUUUCAUAUUCCCCAGUUUGUGGUGAGAGGAUCUCAAAGGGCCAGAGGAAAGGCCUCAGCUGAAGGUCACACAGAGACUUCUGAAUGAUGC
Molecule: long non-coding RNA, 7527 nt
Filed under: Cricetulus griseus (Chinese hamster)
Lineage: Eukaryota; Metazoa; Chordata; Mammalia; Rodentia; Cricetidae
Description: lncRNA (ENSCGRG00015031326.1)
Source: RNAcentral